GUUUAGUUCAAUUAUAAAACUUAAUUAGGAUUUAGGAAAGGAAAAUAGAAACAGCGUAAUUACAGGAGAACUAAACGACGGGCUGAACGGGAAAAUCGGACAAGAAGAAGCAAUAAUUUCGGCUUCUGUAGCCAAACCAAACGCUCCCUUAGGGCCCACAAGCGUUUUCAUAACACUAUAAAUACCACCACCCUCUUUUCAUUCUUUCAUCGCAGAAUAAAAAUACUCACUGCACCUUCAACACUUGGUUUUUCGUUCUCUUUCUUUCUGCACUUUCUGUAGCCAUGGCAUCUCAAGCAUUCUCCGUCAGUUUCUUCCUCGCUGCUCUCGUCGCAGCGCUUUUCUUCGCCGUGGCCACCGCUGAAGAAUUGUCUCCGGCCCCGGCACCGGGACCUGAUGCCGGAACAGGCGCUUCCGUGUCAAGCUCGAUGGCCGUGAUUGGAGCGUCGAUUGUGGUUUCAAUGUUCGCGAUAUUGAAGCAGUGAGUUUAUUGGAACGGUGAUCUGAUUGCGAUUGUGUUAUGGAAAGAGAGAAAGAGUUUAUGAUAUGAUGUAAACUGAACCAUUCAUUAAUUGAAAUGGAUUUGGGCAUCAUCUUCAUCAGAAAUAAAGCAGAAAGGGAUAGAGGAAUCUAGUUGGAAGCUUUUAUGAAAA
RNAcentral lists this small RNA (653 nucleotides) under Vigna angularis var. angularis. RNAcentral's name for it is "Non-protein coding transcript". Lineage: Eukaryota; Viridiplantae; Streptophyta; Magnoliopsida; Fabales; Fabaceae. The record is from RNAcentral.